This 784-nucleotide ribosomal RNA is filed under the name metagenome. RNAcentral's name for it is "bacterial SSU rRNA". It matches the Rfam family "Bacterial small subunit ribosomal RNA", at positions 8 to 822 of the family's 1533-position model. The record is from RNAcentral.
AGAGUUUGAUCCUGGCUCAGAACGAACGCUGGCGGCAUGCUUAACACAUGCAAGUUGAACGAAGGUCCGAGGCUUGCUUCGGGUACCUUAGUAGCGAACGGGUGAGUAACGCGUGGGAAUCUACCUAGAAAUGGGGAAUAACUACUGGAAACGGUAGCUAAUACCGCAUAAUCCCUUCGGGGCAAAGGCUUCGGCCGUUUUUAGAUGAGCCCGCGUUAGAUUAGAUUGUUGGUGGGGUAAUGGCCUACCAAAUCUUCUAUCUAUAGCUGGUCUGAGAGGAUGAUCAGCCACACUGGGACUGAGACACGGCCCAGACUCCUACGGGAGGCAGCAGUGGGGAAUAUUGGACAAUGGGGGAAACCCUGAUCCAGCAAUGCCGCGUGAGUGAUGAAGGCCUUAGGGUUGUAAAGCUCUUUCAGAAGUGAAGAUGAUGACGGUAACUUCAGAAGAAGCUCCGGCUAACUCCGUGCCAGCAGCCGCGGUAAUACGGAGGGAGCUAGCGUUGUUCGGAAUUACUGGGCGUAAAGNGCGUGUAGGCUGUUNGNUNAGUCAGAGGUGAAAUCCCUAAGCUCAACUUAGGAACUGCCUUUGAUACUAUCNUACUAGAGAUCGAGAGAAGUUAGCGGAAUUCCAAGUGUAGAGGUGAAAUUCGUAGAUAUUUGGAAGAACACCUGUGGCGAAAGCGGCUAACUGGCUCGUUUCUGACGCUGAGACGCGAAAGCGUGGGUAGCAAACAGGAUUAGAUACCCUGGUAGUCCACGCCGUAAACGAUGAGUGCUAGCCG